UAACGGGGCUAAACUAUGCACCGAAGCUGCGGCAGCGACACUAUGUGUUGUUGGGUAGGGGAGCGUUCUGUAAGCCUGUGAAGGUGUGUCGUGAGGCAUGCUGGAGGUAUCAGAAGUGCGAAUGCUGACAUAAGUAACGAUAAAGCGGGUGAAAAGCCCGCUCGCCGGAAGACCAAGGGUUCCUGUCCAACGUUAAUCGGGGCAGGGUGAGUCGACCCCUAAGGCGAGGCCGAAAGGCGUAGUCGAUGGGAAACGGGUUAAUAUUCCCGUACUUGGUGUUACUGCGAAGGGGGGACGGAGAAGGCUAUGUUGGCCGGGCGACGGUUGUCCCGGUUUAAGCGUGUAGGUGUGUGUUCCAGGUAAAUCCGGUUCACUUUAACACUGAGGCGUGACGACGAGGCACUACGGUGCUGAAGCAACAAAUGCCCUGCUUCCAGGAAAAGCCUCUAAGCAUCAGGUAACAUCAAAUCGUACCCCAAACCGACACAGGUGGUCAGGUAGAGAAUACCAAGGCGCUUGAGAGAACUCGGGUGAAGGAACUAGGCAAAAUGGUGCCGUAACUUCGGGAGAAGGCACGCUGACACGUAGGUGAAGUGAUUUACUCAUGGAGCUGAAGUCAGUCGAAGAUACCAGCUGGCUGCAACUGUUUAUUAAAAACACAGCACUGUGCAAACACGAAAGUGGACGUAUACGGUGUGACGCCUGCCCGGUGCCGGAAGGUUAAUUGAUGGGGUCAGCGCAAGCGAAGCUCCUGAUCGAAGCCCCGGUAAACGGCGGCCGUAACUAUAACGGUCCUAAGGUAGCGAAAUUCCUUGUCGGGUAAGUUCCGACCUGCACGAAUGGCGUAAUGAUGGCCAGGCUGUCUCCACCCGAGACUCAGUGAAAUUGAACUCGCUGUGAAGAUGCAGUGUACCCGCGGCAAGACGGAAAGACCCCGUGAACCUUUACUAUAGCUUGACACUGAACAUUGAGCCUUGAUGUGUAGGAUAGGUGGGAGGCUUUGAAGUGUGGACGCCAGUCUGCAUGGAGCCGACCUUGAAAUACCACCCUUUAAUGUUUGAUGUUCUAACGUGGACCCGUGAUCCGGGUUGCGGACAGUGUCUGGUGGGUAGUUUGACUGGGGCGGUCUCCUCCUAAAGAGUAACGGAGGAGCACGAAGGUUGGCUAAUCCUGGUCGGACAUCAGGAGGUUAGUGCAAUGGCAUAAGCCAGCUUGACUGCGAGCGUGACGGCGCGAGCAGGUGCGAAAGCAGGUCAUAGUGAUCCGGUGGUUCUGAAUGGAAGGGCCAUCGCUCAACGGAUAAAAGGUACUCCGGGGAUAACAGGCUGAUACCGCCCAAGAGUUCAUAUCGACGGCGGUGUUUGGCACCUCGAUGUCGGCUCAUCACAUCCUGGGGCUGAAGUAGGUCCCAAGGGUAUGGCUGUUCGCCAUUUAAAGUGGUACGCGAGCUGGGUUUAGAACGUCGUGAGACAGUUCGGUCCCUAUCUGCCGUGGGCGCUGGAGAACUGAGGGGGGCUGCUCCUAGUACGAGAGGACCGGAGUGGACGCAUCACUGGUGUUCGGGUUGUCAUGCCAAUGGCACUGCCCGGUAGCUAAAUGCGGAAGAGAUAAGUGCUGAAAGCAUCUAAGCACGAAACUUGCCCCGAG
RNAcentral lists this ribosomal RNA (1647 nucleotides) under Salmonella enterica. Its description in RNAcentral is "partial 23S ribosomal RNA". It matches the Rfam family "Bacterial large subunit ribosomal RNA", at positions 1173 to 2803 of the family's 2925-position model. Lineage: Bacteria; Pseudomonadati; Pseudomonadota; Gammaproteobacteria; Enterobacterales; Enterobacteriaceae. The record is from RNAcentral.